Molecule: long non-coding RNA, 3641 nt
Filed under: Homo sapiens (human)
Lineage: Eukaryota; Metazoa; Chordata; Mammalia; Primates; Hominidae
Description: HSALNT0265145
Source: RNAcentral
CCAUUUCUAACCACAAUGUGCAUCCGUUUAAAACUGGUUUUAAAACCAAAUACACUGCACCAGGGGCAUGUGUUGGAUAAUACAAGUGUAGGUGGCAUUCCAGUUGAAUUCAGGCAUCCCCAAACCUCCUCUGCUGUCCCCUGGCCCAACCUAUUGCAGUGACUGCUACAAACAGAAGGUAAGAAGACAAUAGUGGCCAAGUGGUUUGUGAGGACCAUGGCUGAUGGUUCUGUGCAUUGUCUAGAGUCCAGCCAGAGUCCACACUGAUGAUGGGAUACGUAACAUUUCUCCUGACAGAUGAUUACUGUCAGGGAAAACAACAGCCUGCACGGAGGAGCUGCAGACUGUGCUAGGACAACAGCUGAACCCACCCCUCCCCCGUGUCCUCCAGGGGCUCUCAUGUGAUUCUGUGUUGGGCAAAAGGGUGGAAAUGUAAGGGAGGUUAAAAACGGCAAGACAGCACUCAGAAAAAGUAUGGAGGGAGGUCUGUUAAUAGUAAUUUAUGGGAAAAGUAAUUUAUGAUGUUAGAUUAACCAAAUGUUAAUGGCCUUUGUCCUCAGGACACAUUUUUGCAGAGUGUCCAGGCCAAAAGCUCCUCAGGCGUGAGGCCGGCAGCCCAGCAUGGACAUUUUCAGAGCACUUUGAGAUUUACUUUAAUGAGAACAGUCACUUGUAUAAAACCAAAAAUAGACAUAGGAGGAGGUUCAGGAGAAAGGAACUUGUUCCUUUCGGGUAAAUCACAAGGAACAAAGAGGGAAAAUUUCGAUCUUUAAAACUGCUUUCUCUAGCCUCAUCUAUUAAACUUCCCAUUUUCUGGAGGCUGCUGUUUUGAGGCAUUAAGAGACUUGUAUUUUAAUAUACAAACCACAAAACCCUGGCUUUUCUCUGUGCUAUGCCAUUAUCUGGCUCUUGGCAGACUUAAAAUUCUUCCUUUUAAAACUAUUUCCUUUUGGGAGUCAGCUGAAAGUCCGGUUCAAGCACCACAUUGAUAAAACUGAACACAGGACACCUCUUAAAAGGCAGCAAUUAUGGGUCCCAGUAGAAAAACAGUCCGUGGUGCCAGGCUUCCGAGACAUCAUGCCUCAAAUGUGGCUUUGUGUCAACGCAGCUGUAUCCACAGGCAAAAAGUUAAAAGACUUAUUUAAAAAUCUUUCCACUUCUGGAAGCUCUCUCUCUCUGCAACUUUGCUGCUGAGCAGGAGCAGAGUCGGGGUAGAACGAUGCUCUCGCAGCUACCAGGACCCUGCUGGGUCUGGCACUUCCAUGCCCUGACCUUGGGAGCCUGUGUCCAUGGCUGUCCUGUUCUCUAACCUCGGCCCCGGUUUCCACGCUUUCUCAUUUCUGUCUGAGCAGGCCUGAGCAAGUGUCUUGAUAGUUGGUCAGUAUCGAGGUCUAGAAGGAAAAGUCAUACUUUUCUGUCUGUCUAUAUUCAGAUGGCAAAAUAGUAAAACCUGCAUAUUCAUUCUGCACAGGAUGAGCUCACAGGGAACCAGAAUUUUUUUUUUUUAAUUUGCAAAAUCUGGUGGUUUAAGUCUACACAACUUUAAUACAGUUUAGGCUUUUGAUAUCCAGUGAAUUCUAUCCCCUUACUACUCCCCAAAUGGCCAAUAGCUUGAAUUUUGUCCCAGUGCAAUUCUCACAAAGGUAGUGACCAUUGUACGGAAUGGAUGUACAGAGACCUGAGGAAAGCCAGAUGAGUUUGGACAACUAAAUGGCCGACUGAUGGUAGAGAAUUAGAAAAAUGAUUUUAGUUUAAAUAAAGAGUCAUCCUUACUACUGUUGAAUUUCCUCCCAAGUGGAAAUCAUUCUAUAAUGGCUGUGUCUAUUAUAGUAUAUUACAGUAACUGCAGGUGUCAAAAGUGUUCUAUGUCAGGCUAGAAUAACCUAGAGGCAGUAGUUUUUUAAAUGAUAAAAUAAAUCGAAUGGAUAUAAACUCACGAUAAACCUAUUUUUUCCAUCAUCAACCUUUUCAAGUAUUUAAAUAAAUAACUGCUAUGUACUGUGAAAAAAAAACUGUUUCAUUCUUAAACCGGGAAGAGGAUUGUUACUGAUUAAUAAGAGCAGAUGUACAUCUCCGGCUUUUUUUCUUUUAGUCAGAUCUUCCAGAAGAGACCCCACUCUUUUUUUUUUUUUUUUUUUUUUGAGAUGGAGUCUUGCUCUGUCACCAGGCUGAAGUGCUGUGGUGUGAUCUCAGCUCACUGCAACCUCCGACUCCCUGGUUCAAGUGAUUCUCCUGCCUCAGCCUCCCAAGUAGCUGGGAUUACAGGCACACACCACCACGCCCAGCUAAUUUUUUGUGUGUUUUUAGUAAAGACGGGGUUUCACCAUGUUGGCCAGGAUGGUCUCGAUCUCCUGACCUCAUGAUCCACCCACCUCAGCCUCCCAAAGUGCUGGGAUUACAGGCAUGAGCCACCUUGUCUGGCCGAGACCCUGCUCUUUUUAAGUCAACUUUUUAUUGAAGUAUAAUGUGUACAUGAAAAGUACACAUAUCAUAUAACUGUAGCUCGAUGGAUUUUCAAAAAGUACACCACUUAACUAGCAUUAAGAUCAAGAAACAGAAUGCCACCAACACCUCAAUGUCCCCUCCCUCCCCCUUGCUUUUAUUUUCUCAUCAAGCAGGAGUCAGCAAAUCUGGCCCCUGCCUAUUUUAGCAAAUAAAGUUUUAUUGGAACACAGCCCUGCUCAUUCAUUUACAUCUCAUCCAUGGUUGCUUUUGUACUGGAAUGGUGGAGUGAAUGUUUGCAACAAGGACCAUAUGGCCUGUGGAGCUUAAAAAAGUUACUCUGUGGAUCUCUACAGAAAAAAGUUUAUGGGCCCCUCCCUGUUCUAGAGCAGAACUGAUCAGUAGAAUAUAAUGCGACUCACAGUCAUAAUGUUAAAUUUUCUAGUAACCAGAUUAAAAAGUAAGAUUAGACAGGUAAAAUUAAUUUUAAUACUAUUUAAUUUCCCAAUAUAUCUAAAAUGCCACUUAAAUAUGUAACCAAUUUCAAAAAUGAGAUAUUUUAUCUCUUUUUCAUUAUGUUUCUAAAUCUGGUAUGUAUUUUACACUGAUUGCACAUCUCAGUUCACACAAGCCACACGUCAAGUGCUGGACAGUGCCAUGUAUUCUGGGACUACUGUGCUGGGUGCCACACUUCUAGAACCCCCUCUGGGUCUCCGGAAGCUGAAGUGGCAGCACCUCUACCCUCUUGUUGAGCCCACUGCCAGUCUAGGCACCUCCCUUUUAACUGCAUGCACGUUUAUGCAUAAGCUUUCCUGAUUCUUUAAAAUGUGAAUUUUCAAAACCACCCUGAGAAAUCCUACAACACUUAGUAGUAACAUAUCUCAGGGAUGAAGAGUAAGGAACUGUGGCCUAAACUGACAGUUUUAUGAGCAAGGGUAGAGUGAGCUGAUGAGCAUCAAAACCCUUUGGACUUUCACUAAGGGAAAAAUUACAUGAAAACUGCAAACAAAUGCUAAAUGCUUCAGAUGAAGGAUAAAAAGCAAAAAAGGAAUCAAUGAGCAUCCCUCAAGAGGAUCUUCAGCAACUCAGCUGUGCCAUUAUCCUAUUCAGUGACAAAACAAUGUUGACUGCAGGGCAAAACAGUAAUUUAAUUUUGGUCUGCCCAAUAUUACAAAAAGAGAUAAACAAAAGAAAAAUGG